UAAAAAAGAAAAGAAAAGAAAAUAAAUGAGAAAGCCCGCUAAGUCGAACAUCAGAAAAGGAGAAUUAGGCAAAAAUCAGGGCAUCCUGUUGGACGAUAGCUUCAAAGAAGCGGUAAAGGAAAAAUUAGGGAUAAAAAAAGAAAAAAAAAGAUGAAUAGAAAAUCAAGAAAAAAGUCAUAAAAAAACAAGUUUUGGUGACCAUAAUAUCAAGAAUCAAAGGGUCACAAAUAUCCUUGACAUAAACAAAAUUU
This 251-nucleotide long non-coding RNA is filed under the name Lathyrus oleraceus (garden pea). RNAcentral's name for it is "Pisum sativum (pea) long non-coding RNA (PSAT_LNC004196)". The record is from RNAcentral. Lineage: Eukaryota; Viridiplantae; Streptophyta; Magnoliopsida; Fabales; Fabaceae.